Magnolia sinica is the source of this 652-nucleotide long non-coding RNA. RefSeq lists it as uncharacterized. Lineage: Eukaryota; Viridiplantae; Streptophyta; Magnoliopsida; Magnoliales; Magnoliaceae. The record is from RefSeq and is a predicted model, not a curated record. The transcript has 2 exons.
UGUUGUACAUUGUUACUUUUGCUUUUUUGUUGGUGUGUCCCGAUUGAGUGUUGAAUAUUCUUAUUUCUUAUUAUUAUAGCUUAUUGUAUUAUUUUGAAACAGAUGGACGGAAUGGAUUCUAUUAGAACCCUCUAAAGGGACCCCACAUGGCCCGAGGUCACAUUUACGUAAAUCUGCCGCAGACUACUGGAUCAUUUAUGAUAUGAAAAGAUUCUGAGAGCGUAUCGUAUGAUUUCCUUACAGAGAGAGAAGCAAAGGACCCUUUCCUUCCGUGCAAUUUUCUUUCUCCUUUCAUCUCUCUCGUUUUCUGCUCGAUUUCAGAGAAAAAAUGGCGAAUCAGCUCACGGACGACCAGAUCUCUGAGUUCAAGGAGGCCUUUAGCUUGUUUGACAAAGACGGAGAUGGUUAGAUCCCUUCGAUCUUUGCUUUCCCCCCUCUUUCUGCUGGAAAAUCUGUUGAUUUUGUGGGGAUUGUUUCAGAUCGGGUGGAUUUUUCUUUGUGAAAGUUCAUUUAUUUAUUAUUAUUAUUAUUUUUCCUUUUGUGUUGUGGAUUUUGAGCUAUUGAUUUGUUUGAAGCAUGUGAGAUCUGCAUCUUUAUCUUCUGCAGUUCUUUGAGAUGGAUUUUUAAAAAAAAAAUCUGUUUGAAUCAUGUA